RNAcentral lists this long non-coding RNA (3703 nucleotides) under Homo sapiens (human). RNAcentral describes it as "HSALNT0271832". The record is from RNAcentral. Lineage: Eukaryota; Metazoa; Chordata; Mammalia; Primates; Hominidae.
UUUCUUUUUCUUUCUUUUUUUUUUUUUAAGACGGAGUAUCGCUCUGUUGCCCGGGCUGGUGUGCAGUGGCGCGAUCUCGGCUCACUGCAAGCUCCGCCUCCUGGGUUCCCGCCAUUCUUCCGCCUCAGCCUUCCAAGUAGCUGGGACUACCGGCGCCCGCCAUCGCGCCCAGCUCAUUUUUUUGUAUUUUUAGUAGAGAGGGGGUUUCACCGUUUUAGCCAGGAUGGUCUCGAUAUCCUGACCUUGUGAUCCGCCCGCCUCGGCCUCUCAAAGUGCUGGGAUUACAGGCGUGAGCCACCGCGCCCGACCUAUUGGUUUCUUUUUUUGACACGGAGUCUCACUCUGCCACCCAGGGUGGAGUGCAGUGAUGCAACGUCUCCCUCUUGGGUUCAAGCAAUUCUCCUGCCUCAGGCUCCCAAGUAGCUGGGAUUACAGAAAACUCUUGAGUUCUCCCUGAAAGGAGACUAAAGAACAAUCCUCUGCAGAUGUGUCUGAAUCCUAAAAUGAACUUAAGUCAAGCAUGAUCCCUAAGGCUGCUCAGGGAGAGAGAACCUAGAAACCUGGCAUGCUGGCAAAAGGAGACCAUCAAGCUUCAGAUGAUCAUGCAACAAAAGUCCCAGCUAGUUCCAGGUGAAGACAACACACCUGGCCUUCAAAAAGCUACUCUGCCUCCACUAGAGAGAACAGGGCGAGAGUUCCAUGAUCCCCAGUAGAGUCUCACUCUGUGUCACAGGCUGAAGUGCAGUGGCACAAUCUUGGCUCACUGCAACCUCCACCUCCCGGGUUCAAGUGAUUCUCCUGCUUCAGCCUCCGGAGUAGCUGGGACUACAGGAUGAAAACUAUAAAUCAUUCGCUUUCCCAGAGUGAAGUUUGACUUAUUCCUGUGGCCAACAUGGCUUAUGGACACCAAGGACAAAUAAGUCAGAAUAACUUGAUGGAAAAGACCUUCAGCGAUAACUACAUAGUUUUCAUCUCUUGUUAUAUAAUAAAAGCUACCACCUGCAGUUCUCACAGCAGUAGAAUUCCAAAUCAGCCGCUGCAAAAUCAGCAACAGCAGCUGUAACCUGGUUUUUAGAGAAGUUGAAAUCAAUUUUCACAGGUAACUUAAAGUUUAUACAAAUGCAGAUUGUGUUCGCCAGGGUUUAACAUUUGUAUAAUAGUCAUAAAGAUAAUAGUACGAUAAAGAGUUAUUCUUACUGAAUUUCAAUACACAGUCUCUUCUUUUCUGUUAUGGUCUUCAAAGGUAUUAUUUAAGCUUAAUUACAUUUAUGAAAACAAAUUAAUAAAAAUGUCAAAGUUGGGAUUUAAAGAGGUAUACACUUACUAAAAUAAGGUAUGUUUCUUAAACAAAAUGUAUUCUAUUUUAAUCAUUAAUUUAAGACUUUCAGUUCUUCAUGAAUCAGUGACCCAUCAAUAGUGUAUCUUUUACUGUAAGUUAAUUUCAAUCCUAGAUUUGUAUACAAUUAAAGUAACAUAUUUAUCUUAAUCUUUUAAGUUUUUAUAUAUCAUCCAGAAAAAUGAGAUAUCUAUAAUAGUCUUUCAGUUCUGUAAACUUUUCUCUUUUUUCUUUCUUUAAUUUUUUUUUUACUUUUUAUUUUUGGUAACAAUGGUUUUACAUAUUUAUGUGGUAGAUGUACCAUUUUGAUACAAGCAUAAAAUGUGUAAUAAUAAAAUCUAGGUAAUUGGGAUAUUCAUUACAUAAAAUAUUUAUAAUUUAUGUGUGUUGGGAACAUUCCAAAUCUCUUCUUCUAGUUAUUUUUAAAUUUACAAUAAAUUAUUAUUAACUGUAGUCACCCUAUUGUGCUACUGAACACUAGACCUUAUUCUAUUAACCAUCCCCUCUUUAUAACCCCCCGCAAACCCACUACCCUUCCCAACCUCUGGUAACUGUCAUUCUACUCUCUGUCUUUAUGAGAUCAGUUUUCUUUAGUUCCCAUAUAUAAGUGAAAACAUGCAACAUUUAUCUUUCUGUGCCUGGCUUAUUUCACUGAACAUAGUAUCCUCCAGUUCCAUCCAUGUUGUUAUAAUUAUCAUGAUUUCAUUCUUUUGUGUGACUGAAUAAUAAUCCAUUGUGUAUAUAUACCACAUUUUCUGUAUUCAUUCAUUUGUUGUUUGACACAGUUUGAUUUCAUAUCUUGGCUAUGGCAAAUAGUGCUGCAAUAAACAUGGGUGUGCCAACAUCUCUCUCCAAUAGAUGUAUUUCCUUUAUUUUGAAUAAAUACCCAGUAGUGAGAUUGCUGGAUUAUAUUGUAGUUCUAUUUUUAGUUUUUUAAGGAACCUCCUUACUGCUUUCCAUAGUGACUAUACUAAUUUACAUCCCACCGAUAGUGUAUGAGUGUUCCUCCUUCUCCACCUCCUUACCACCAUUUAUUUUCUGUCUUUUUGUAUUUUUGUUAUCCCAUUUGUCCAUUUUGGUUUUCAUUGCCUGUGCUUUUGAGGUCUUAUUCAACAAAUUUUGCCCAGACUAAUGUACUCAAAUAUUUUCCCUAUGUUUUCUUCUAGUAGUUUCAGGUCUUACAUUUAAGUCUUUAAUACAUUUAGAUUUGUUUUUGCAUAUGGUAAGAGAGAGGGUACUAAUUUCAUUCUUCUGCAUAUGGUUAUCUAGUUUUUCAAGCAUCAAUUAUUGAAAAGACUGUCCUUGCUGCAGUGUAUGUUUUUGGUACUUUGUCAAAAAUGAAUUGACUGUAAAUGUGUGGAUUGAUUUGUAGGUUAUCUAUUAUGUUCUAUGUGUCUGUUUUUAUGGCAGUACCAUGCUGAUUUUAAUACUAUAGCUUUGUAGUAUAAUUUGAAGUCAGAUACUGUGCUUCUUCCAGCUUUGUUCUCUUUGUUCAGAAUUGUUGUAGGUAUUCCAGGUCGUUUGUGGUUCCAUAUACAUUUUAGAAUUUUUUUUUAUUUCUGUGAAGAAUUUCAUUAGUACUUUGACACAUACUGUAUUGAAUCUGUAGAUAAUGUUAGGCAGUAUAGACAUCUUAAUAAUAUUGAUUUUUCUAAUUCAUGAUUAUGAAAUAUCUUUCCAUUUUUGUGUCUUCAAUUUACUCCCUUGAUGUUUUAUAGCAUUUUUAUCAACAAAAAUUGUGUAUGUUUAUAAUAUACAGCAUGAUGUUUUGAAAUAUGUAUAUAUUGUAGAAUGGGUAAAUCGAGCUAACUAACAUAUGUAUUCCCUCAUAUGUAUAUAUAUUUGUGUGUGUGUGUAUGGCGAGAACACAUAAAAUCUAUUUUCAAGUUAUUUACAUGUGGGUGGAUUAUCGUUGUACAUUGGCUUAUAACUUAAUUUGUUGUUAAGUGACAAAAGUGGAUGGAUAGUAUGCUUCCUUUUAUGUGGAAGAGGGAACUUGGGGAGCUUAGGGAGUGCACACGCUGGAGGGACUUUUUAUUUUAGCAAUGCUUCUUGCAGUACAUUUAUAACUCACGUAUAGAAAACUUUCACAAUUUUUCAUAAGCAUUUUGCAAUUAUGAUUAAGUGGAUUUUUCAAAGCAAUACAAAUAGAAGGCCAAGGAAGGUGGCUUAUGUCUAUAAUCCCAGCACUUUGGGAGGCCAAGAUGGGCUGAUCACCUGAAGUCAGGGGUUCAAGACCAGCCUGGCCAACGUGGUGAAAUUCUGUCUCUACUAAAAAUACAAAAAUUAGCCAGACACGGUAGCACACAUAUGUAAUCCAAGCUACUCUGGAGGCUGAGGCAGGAGAAUUAUUUGAACCUGAGAGUG